CGAGCAGGCCAGACGGUCGCGGCGGCGAAAGCCGUCGAGGAAAGUCCGGACUCCACAGGGCAGGGAAGCGGGUAACACCCGUCCGCCGCGAGGCGAGGACCAGCGCCACAGUGACGAUCCGCGCAAGCGGGUGAAACGAGGCAAGCUCUUCCCGGAGCAAGGCGAUGUAUGGGGGCGAUGGCGUGGCCCGCGCCGUCCCCGGGUGCGCCGCUAGAGGCGGAGGGUGACCUCCGUCCCAGAGAGAUGACCGUCCACGACGGGAUCCGGCUUAUUGGCCUGCUCGGGUC
Molecule: RNase P RNA, 287 nt
Filed under: Chloroflexota bacterium
Lineage: Bacteria; Bacillati; Chloroflexota
Also listed under: 1 other name
Description: Chloroflexi bacterium RNase P RNA component class A
Rfam family: Bacterial RNase P class A
About the family: Ribonuclease P (RNase P) is a ubiquitous endoribonuclease, found in archaea, bacteria and eukarya as well as chloroplasts and mitochondria. Its best characterised activity is the generation of mature 5'-ends of tRNAs by cleaving the 5'-leader elements of precursor-tRNAs.
Source: RNAcentral